UACAGAGGUCUCAAGCGUUGUUCGGAAUUACUGGGCGUAAAGCGCGUGUAGGCGGCAACGCAAGUCGGGCGUGAAAUCCCACGGCUCAACCGUGGAAGUGCACUCGAAACUGCGUAGCUAGAGUCCUGGAGAGGAAGGUGGAAUGCUUGGUGUAGAGGUGAAAUUCGUAGAUAUCAAGCGGAACACCGGUGGCGAAGGCGGCCUUCUGGACAGUGACUGACGCUGAGACGCGAAAGCGUGGGGAGCAAACAGG
Molecule: ribosomal RNA, 253 nt
Filed under: uncultured bacterium
Lineage: Bacteria
Description: partial 16S ribosomal RNA
Rfam family: Bacterial small subunit ribosomal RNA
Source: RNAcentral